RNAcentral lists this small RNA (2636 nucleotides) under Pongo abelii (Sumatran orangutan). Its description in RNAcentral is "processed transcript". Lineage: Eukaryota; Metazoa; Chordata; Mammalia; Primates; Hominidae. The record is from RNAcentral.
AUCACAGAUAGGAGUACCAAGUCCGAUGAGAAGUUCCUGGAAUGGGCGUAGAUUCAGCAGAUCUUGACAAGACCAUAUCUGCAGGGCAAGGUACCAGAGGACAGAGGCGGGGACAGGGACACUUCCAUUCCAGACCUAGCAGCCCAGCACUCAGCACCAUGCAUGGGAGCGAACGGCUGGACUCGUGGGUGGGGUGGGGGGUCUCAGGGCAGGCUCCCAGAGGGCUUGGAGGUGACUCCACCAGGUGGGGACGGCAGCUCUCAGGUAGGGUGUGAUCAGAGUAGACAGCAUUGCUUGCCAGGGACCCCUGGGGAGGCUGACAGGGUCAGUGGGUUUCAGUGGUGGUGGAUUUCAGUGGGGGGGGCUUCCCUGCUGAGAACCCAGUAAAGCCAGCCUUCCAUUCGUCUCCCGUGUGCCCAGAGCCUGGUCUGAGGGCCGCCCUGUUCAUGCUGGGCCUUCCAACGUGACAGAGCUCAGGGGGAAGAACACCCAGGCUCUCAGGAGACUCUGAGGCCAAUGUCUCUAUCCCUGGGUCAGCCCUUUCCUGCCAUGAAUUCAGGAAGGCAGAGGCAGCUCAGCAGAUGGGGACCAGAGGCCGCACUGCUAUCCACAGCCUCUCUUCUCACCCCCAGGCAUGUCGGGCCCCAGGCCUGUGGUGCUGAGCGGGCCUUCGGGAGCUGGGAAGAGCACCCUGCUGAAGAGGCUGUUCCAGGAGCACAGCGGCAUCUUUGGCUUCAGCGUGUCCCGUGAGUCCAGGGCUCUUGUGGAGGGGUGUGUAGACCUCAAGGCUUCUGAGUAGUCCUAGCACCGUGAGCAGGCCAGGAGCCCGAACCCAACAGGCACACCCACCCUGCAGACUGUCCGAACUCUUGCACACUCCCCCCAACACAGAACCGGAGGUUAUUGCACUCCUGCUGUCCUGCGUGCCUGUGUCUCCCUUCCCUGGGUCUGUUGAGUACUGAUAACUGGGCUGCAGCGUCUCUUUCUGGGAGAACCCUCACCUUGUAGGCUCCUGCGCCUUUCCAGCGGUGUGCUCCACUGGCUGCCUGCAUCCUGGGGCUCAAGUGCUGUCGGGACUGCAAGGGAAAUGCUGGGUAGGGCAGUGGGCUUCGAGCAGCCCCCAAUGGGUGACAGGUCUCUCUGCUAGAUACCACAAGGAACCCGAGGCCCGGCGAGGAGAACGGCAAAGGUGAGUGGGGUGGGGCCCUAUGGCUAGAGCACCCCCAGUAUGGGCGGGGCUGCUGGGCCCUGCAGCUGUGUUGGCUGUGCUGCCCGUCUCCUGCCCCUAUUGAUCCCUCAUCUGUGAGAUGGGUCCUUGCCUCCAAGGGCCGGUGAGCUCAAUCAGGGUGUCAGCGCCACAGCGUGGUGUCGCCUUCCUUGGGUACAGUGUGAGAGGCCGGCCAAGGCCUGGGGCUGUCUUCCUCCCACCCUGGAGGCGGCCAAAGUGCUGCCGUCCCCAGCCCUGUCCUGGACUUGGCACUUAUCAGCACUUUUGAGCUGUCUUCUGGGGUCCUGGUGAAAAGGGCUACUCUGCCUGCCUGAUUCAAGACAAGGGGACCCCCUUCCCAACAGCACCCCCGCCCCUUGCCGUGCAACCCAGUGGUCUCCAGUCACCCCACCACAUCGUCCCCUCUGUAACCUGACGGUCUCCAGUUCCCCCACCACCUUCCCCCAGAACCUGUUGGUCUCCAGUCCCCACCCCAUCACCACCAACUCCCAACUCCCCGCUGGAACCCAGCAGUCUCGUAUCUCCAUCAGUGAGGUCAGUGUGAGAAAUGGUGUCUGACUCAGGCACUUGGCAGCACUUGAGGGGUCCUCAGACGUCUCCUGCCCGGCAAGGAUCUGACAGAAGCAGUCGUGGGCGUGGGAGGGGCCUGUAGGCAUGCCUGGGUUGGGGGCGGCUGGCCCUGAUGCCCUGGUGCAGGUCCAGUCUGCCCUCUGGACGGCCCCUCCUCUUCCCCAGAUUACUACUUUGUAACCAGGGAGGUGAUGCAGCGUGACAUAGCAGCCGGCGACUUCAUCGAGCAUGCCGAGUUCUCGGGGAACCUGUAUGGCACGAGCAAGGCGGCGGUGCAGGCCGUGCAGGCCAUGAACCGCAUCUGCGUGCUGGACGUGGACCUGCAGGGUGUGCGGAACAUCAAGGCCACCGAUCUGCGGCCCAUCUACAUCUCUGUGCAGCCGCCUUCACUGCAUGUGCUGGUGUGUGCUGGGCAGGGUUGGGGGCUGGGGGCCAGGGCAUGCCAGGCUCUGAUUGCCACCCCCUUUUUAGGAGCAGCGGCUGCGGCGGCGCAACACUGAAACGGAGGAGAGCCUGGCGAAGCGGCUGGCUGCUGCCCAGGCCGACAUGGAGAGCAGAAAUCAAGAAAGCUCAAAGGACCGGCGCCUGAGGCUUGCUCUCUGUUCUCGGCACCCCGGGCCCAUACAGGACCAGGGCAGCAGCACUGAGCCGCCCCCUUGGCAGGCAAUAUGGCAGCUCUGUGCCCUUGGCCAGCAUGUGGAGUGGAGGGGAUGCUGCCCCUGUGGUUGGAACAUCCUGGGGUGACCCCCGACCCAGCCCCACCGGGCUGUCCCCUGUCCCUAUCUCUCACUCUGGACCCAGGGCUGACAUCUUAAUAAAAUAACUGUUGGAUUAGAAA